CGGCGGGACACCUCUCCCCAACGAGAGGCUAAUUACCUGGAAGGGUAUCUAUA
Molecule: regulatory RNA element, 53 nt
Organism: Rhizobium sp. Root149
Lineage: Bacteria; Pseudomonadati; Pseudomonadota; Alphaproteobacteria; Hyphomicrobiales; Rhizobiaceae
Rfam family: serC leader
About the family: This family is a putative regulatory RNA structure that is found upstream of the serC-serA operon in some alpha-proteobacteria. The final stem of the structure overlaps the ribosome binding site of the serC reading frame.
Source: Rfam